GGACCCGCACAAGCAGUGGAGCAUGUGGUUUAAUUCGAAGAUACGCGCAGAACCUUACCAACACUUGACAUGUUUGUCGCGACUUUAAGAGAUUAAAGUCUUCGGUUCGGCCGGACGAAACACAGGUGCUGCAUGGCUGUCGUCAGCUCGUGUCGUGAGAUGUUGGGUUAAGUCCCGCAACGAGCGCAACCCUCACUUUUAGUUGCCAUCAUUUAGUUGGGCACUCUGAAAGAACUGCCAGUGAUAAGCUGGAGGAAGGUGGGGAUGACGUCAAGUCCUCAUGGCCCUUACGUGUUGGGCUACACACGUGCUACAAUGGUAUCUACAACAGGAAGCAAAACAGCGAUGUUAAGCAAAUCCUUAAAAGAUACCUCAGUUCGGAUUGCACUCUGCAACUCGAGUGCAUGAAGCUGGAAUUACUAGUAAUCGU
This 430-nucleotide ribosomal RNA is filed under the name uncultured bacterium. RNAcentral's name for it is "bacterial SSU rRNA". It matches the Rfam family "Bacterial small subunit ribosomal RNA", at positions 917 to 1345 of the family's 1533-position model. The record is from RNAcentral.